Long non-coding RNA from Carya illinoinensis, 731 nucleotides. RefSeq lists it as uncharacterized. The record is from RefSeq and is a predicted model, not a curated record. NCBI's taxonomy places the organism in Eukaryota, Viridiplantae, Streptophyta, Magnoliopsida, Fagales, Juglandaceae. The transcript has 2 exons.
UUACUUUUUUGUUUCCUCCGUUAAGUUACCGUAAGUAUCUAUUUAUAUUUAGGAAAACAAUAGCGUUACGUACAACCGGGCUGCGAACCCGUUGGGGAACCGGCUAAUGCCACGUCAGAUUAUAUUAAAAAAAAAAAAAAGCAAAACCCAACACAGACAAAAUGGAAAGGAGGGAAGAACUUAGAUUUCAAAGCCAAAGUUUUCGAUUUGGAGAAGACCUUGCAAUCGCAGAUGUUGAAGAAGAUGAGUGUCAUUUCCAGUUCACCUUCCUAACCCCUCUCUCUCUCUCUCUCUCUGAAGAAAACAUUACACGCUCGGCUCGUCAACAACUAGAUCUGCUCGUCUUCGCGUGAACUAGUAGAUCUCUCUGUUCAUCGACUUCAUGUGGGUAUCUCCGUGGUUAACUUCAGUCUACUUUAUCUGCAACUCCUCACAAAGCAUCACCAGCAAUUCCAAGAGUUAGUAGACCAAGCAGGGGAGUAGUCAUUAAAUCAUCCUGCUUCAUGACACUCUGAUUAGUCGUUAAAUCACUCCAAUUGGUGGAAGCCUUGUAUCUUCGACUUAGAAUUUUGCAGUUGACUAUUAGUUGCAGUUGAAUAGUCAUUACUCUGUGUAUGUAGUGGUCGGAUUGUAUUUGAUUCUAAGAAACCAAAUUAAUGAAGUAUUGUAGUUGGGAUAUUCAUUCGUUUGGGAAUAUUUGAAACAUUAAAAAACCAAGUGUUCAUGCUUGA